Molecule: long non-coding RNA, 3133 nt
Organism: Orcinus orca (killer whale)
Lineage: Eukaryota; Metazoa; Chordata; Mammalia; Artiodactyla; Delphinidae
Exons: 3
Source: RefSeq, a predicted model, not a curated record
GUAAUUCAUGUGAAAUCCAGGGGUACCAUCUCUCCAGGGGAGGAAGUGUUUCGGCCUGGGGCGGGGGUACAACAGGGAAUGAGAAAGUUCGGACAUUCUGAGAAUCUGGCACUGGAUUAAUGUGAAAUGUCCUAGAAGAGUGUCCUGCAAGAAGGAGUCAGUUAGAGGACAUGGAGGGACACAAAAGCUGCAUUAUUAGCACAAGCAGGCAUAACCCUCACCCCAGCUAGGAAUGUGAUGUGUGCUCAUGGUCUGUGAGCAACCCUAGAUUUAGGAGGCAGGGUGUGGAAGCAGCACAGAACCAAGGGUCUGAAGAGCCAGCCUCUGGUUUUGGUGAGGUUAUUUACUAGCCAUCUGGUUUUGGACAGGUCAGUUGAUCACUCUAGGCUUCAGUCUAUCUGAGAAAUCAGAAAAAACAUCUUUGUCUCUAACACUUUACAAAUUUGGGGCUCUCACAGACCCUAGGAUCGUCCACGUCGAGAGCAAGCGCUUCCACACGGACACCUUCAAGCUCUGAGGGGAUAAAAGCAGGUCAUCGAUAGCCUGGCUCCCUCUCUCUCUCCCACUCCUCGGCCCUCCCCAGGCUCUGGCCCCUCCUAUGCAGACUUCCUAGUAGUAUUUAACAGACAGCUCACUGGCUUAUAACAUAAAUAGUCUUUUUCUUUCACCCUGUUUCUCAUAUUGUACAGAUGUGUCUACCUUAUAAGAUGUGAGCUCUUGAGGGGCGAUGCAUGACUUGCUUUGCGGCUCUGCUACCUGCCCCCUACCCCGCGCCCCCCAGCCAUGAGCAGGGAAUACUUAAAUGGUAUUGGCGAGAGUCAAGAUGACUGACUUUUCAUAGUUCCCUUUGUUUCUACCCUAUGACUGGGCUUCUUGCACAUUCUCCACACCUCCUCUCUCCCUCACUUCAGAAUCCACAUCAUCACCAAGCCCUAUCAGCUUUACCUCCCAGAUUCCUCUCAACCCCAUCUGUCAGCCGUCCCAUCUCCACCACUAAGCUCUUGUCCCAGGGGACCACCAUCUCUCGUCUGAAUUCCUGCAGUGGCCUCCCAACUGACGUCGCAGGUUUGAUUUGAUUUUAUAUUUUUGUUUUUAUGUAUGUAUGUAUUAUUUAUUUAUUUAUUUUGCGAUACGCAGACCUCUCACUGUUGUGGCCUCUCCCGUUGCGGAGCACAGGCUCCGGACGUGCAGGCUCAGCAGCCAUGGCUCACGGGCCCAGCCGCUCCGCGGCAUGUGGGAUCUUCCCGGACCGGGGCACGAACCCGUGUCCCCUGCAUCGGCAGGCAGACUCUCAACCACUGCGCCACCAGGGAAGCCCUUAUCCUCUUUUAUUUUCAUCAAAGGCUUUACACCUUCCUGAUCUUUUCUUGUUUACUUAUUUGUUUUGGUAAACUUCACUGGGGGGAGGGAGCCAUUUCUCCUAUUUGCCAUUCUUUCCCUGGCACCUAAAACAGUGCCUGCUAUGUAGUAGGUACUCAGUAAAUGUUCAUUGGAUGAAUUAAUGAAGGCGUGCUCACAGGCAAGGAACUUGUGCUAGAAAAGCAGCAGUGUGAGACAAAGCGGGACAGGUGAGUGAGGGUCACACCAAGAAGGCUCUUAGUUGCCAAACUGAGUUUGGAUAUUAUUCUCUGGGGAAUGGAGUGUCUGUCAUUGAUGGUUUUCCAAUAGAGGAGAAGCAUGGUCAGCAUUUGAGGAAGUUUGAUUUGGCAGCCAUGUGUAAGUCAUAUUCAAGAGAGAAAAAUUAAAGACGUUGCUUCAAUCCAUGACAUAAAGAGCUUAGUGUCUGACCCAUAGUGAGUCUCCAAUAAAUGAAUGUUAUCACCAAGCACUGUGGCAGGCACUGGGAGAUACAGAACAAAAAGUCAAGAUCAAUAAACCUUUCUACCUCAGAAGAAUUCUUCCUAAACCCUAGUGUCACAUUCCUUCCCUCCCCUUUUUGUCAAACUUCCAUUAAUAUUAAUAUAUAUUAUAUUCUCAGGGCUGUCAUGUCUAGGCUCUUUUAAUCAGGCUUCCCACCUCCAGCGUGCCUCUGGCUUAGAUUUCACUUUCCCCGUUUCCUGUAUUUUGCUGGUGCCAAGUCACGUAGCUUCUGCCUCCACACUGCCCCCACCCCCUUAAUUGUAAAAGCACCACGUGCUUUCUGUAAAAAUUUCCAAAAAAUACAGAAGCGCCCAAAGUAAAAAAAUGGAAAUGCCUUGUCUUUUCCUCAUUCCUUCCCACAACCUCACUCCCCGGAUUUCAACUCUGUGAUAAUCUGGCAUCCCAAAUCUUGUUCCUAGCUCCUCUUUUCCAUCCGCACUCCAGUAUCUGAACUAAAGGCAUGGUUUUUCCACCUCUUCUCUUUGAUUUUUCCCUUCAGUUCAGCUUGAAAAACAUUUAUUGAGUGCUAUGUACCAAGUCCUACACCAGACACUGGAAGUACAAAGACAAAACAGUGAAAGAGGUCCACAUUUAAAAAGCUGUUGUACUUGGGCAAGUUACUUUCUUUGACACUUACUUCCUUAUCUGUAAAAUGAGGAUAAGCUCAGUACCUUCUUUAUGGGGUUGGAUGAGGAUUAAUGAGAUGAUACAUAGAAUACUCUUUGCAUAGUGCCUGGUACAUUGUAUCUGCUCUAUAAAUGUCAAUGACAACAAUGAUAAUGAUGAUAAUCUUUGCCUUGGAGGAGUUUAUAGGUUAAUGAGGAAACUUGAAGAAUAAGAAUUACCUAGGUGAAGAAAGAUGGGAAAAUAUUUUUGGAAAAGCAGAGACAAGCAGUUUAAAUGAAAUUAAAAGGUUUUCAAGUAUUUCACUUUACUAUUUUGAAGGAAGAAUGGAUAAACUGAAAAUUGCUAGAGCAAACAGCCUGGAGUCAGGUUGUGAAGUGGCUUAUUUGGCAUGCUACGGACACUGGCGGUCUUUGCGAAGAGGUGCGAAUGGGACGGCCGCCGGCUAGGGCAAGUAUCCAGGACCGGGGCGGGUCUUGCCGUCGGGCGGCGCUGACAGCGAGUACAACUGGCGGGCAGGCUCCGCUUUCCUUCUUCCGCCUCCUGAGGGCGUUGCGGGCGCAGGGCGGGGCUAGGGGCGGGGUCAGGAGGCCCAGGCCCCGCCUCCUUCCGUCUGCUGCGGUCGGCGCGGCAGGGCGGGGCCGCUGGG